Molecule: ribosomal RNA, 468 nt
Filed under: uncultured bacterium
Lineage: Bacteria
Description: partial 16S ribosomal RNA
Rfam family: Bacterial small subunit ribosomal RNA
Source: RNAcentral
GACGAACGCUGGCGGCGUGCUUAACACAUGCAAGUCGAACGGAAAGGCCCUGCUUUUGUGGGGUGCUCGAGUGGCGAACGGGUGAGUAACACGUGAGUAACCUGCCCUUGACUUUGGGAUAACUUCAGGAAACUGGGGCUAAUACCGGAUAGGAGCUCCUGCUGCAUGGUGGGGGUUGGAAAGUUUCGGCGGUUGGGGAUGGACUCGCGGCUUAUCAGCUUGUUGGUGGGGUAGUGGCUUACCAAGGCUUUGACGGGUAGCCGGCCUGAGAGGGUGACCGGCCACAUUGGGACUGGGAUACGGCCCAGACUCCUACGGGAGGCAGCAGUGGGGAAUAUUGCACUAUGGGCUGAAGCCUGAUGUAGCAACGCCGCGUGCGGGAUGACGGCCUUCGGGUUGUAAACCGCUUUCGCCUGUGACGAAGCGUGAGUGACGGUAAUGGGUAAAGAAGCACCGGCUAACUACGUG